GAUGAACGCUGACAGAAUGCUUAACACAUGCAAGUCAACUGUGGCGGACGGGUGAGUAACGCGUAAAGAACUUGCCUCACAGAUAGGGACAACAUUUGGAAACGAAUGCUAAUACCUGAUACUGUGAGAGAGCUUUGCGUCCCAUUAGCUAGUUGGAGAGGUAACGGCUCACCAAGGCGAUGAUGGGUAGCCGGCCUGAGACGGUGAUCGGCCACAAGGGGACUGGGAAACGAGCAUUACUCAAUCGGGAGGCAGGAGUGGGGAAUAUACGACAAAGGACCAAAGUGUGAUGCAGGAAUUCUGUGUGUACGAUGAAGUUUUCGGAAUGUAAAGGGAUUUCAGUUGGGAAGCGGUACCAACAGAAGAAGUGACGGCUAAAUACGUGCCAGCAGCCGCGGUAAUUC
This 404-nucleotide ribosomal RNA is filed under the name uncultured bacterium. RNAcentral describes it as "partial 16S ribosomal RNA". It matches the Rfam family "Bacterial small subunit ribosomal RNA", at positions 28 to 526 of the family's 1533-position model. The record is from RNAcentral.